Molecule: non-coding RNA, 85 nt
Filed under: Anaerolinea sp.
Lineage: Bacteria; Bacillati; Chloroflexota; Anaerolineae; Anaerolineales; Anaerolineaceae
Description: c-di-GMP sequence
Rfam family: c-di-GMP-I riboswitch aptamer
About the family: GEMM was predicted in a large-scale screen for bacterial structured RNA regulatory elements.
Source: RNAcentral
AGGUAAAAUCAACGAAAGUUGAUGGCGCAAAGUCAUGGGUCUAAAGUCGUUUUAUUAAAGUGGCUAAGACUGCCAGACUGCCGAA